UGGGGAAUCUUGCGCAAUGGCCGAAAGGCUGACGCAGCGACGCCGCGUGGGGGAUGAAGGUUUUCGGAUCGUAAACCCCUGUUGCCCGGGACGAACAGCUUCUUUCGAGGAGCCUGACGGUACCGGGUGAGGAAGCACCGGCUAACUCUGUGCCAGCAGCCGCGGUAAUACAGAGGGUGCGAGCGUUGUCCGGAAUCACUGGGCGUAAAGGGCGCGUAGGUGGCGGGGUAAGCGUGUGGUGAAAGCUCGGAGCUCAACUCCGAGUCGGCCAUGCGAACUGCUUCGCUGGAGCACUGUAGAGGCAGAUGGAAUUCCGGGUGUAGCGGUGGAAUGCGUAGAGAUCCGGAAGAACACCGGUGGCGAAGGCGGUCUGCUGGGCAGUUGCUGACACUGAGGCGCGACAGCGUGGGGAGCAAACAGG
This 421-nucleotide ribosomal RNA is filed under the name uncultured bacterium. RNAcentral's name for it is "bacterial SSU rRNA". It matches the Rfam family "Bacterial small subunit ribosomal RNA", at positions 355 to 776 of the family's 1533-position model. The record is from RNAcentral.